GAUGAACGCUGGCGGCGUGCCUAAUACAUGCAAGUCGAGCGAACAGACGAGGAGCUUGCUCCUCUGACGUUAGCGGCGGACGGGUGAGUAACACGUGGAUAACCUACCUAUAAGACUGGGAUAACUUCGGGAAACCGGAGCUAAUACCGGAUAAUAUAUUGAACCGCAUGGUUCAAUAGUGAAAGACGGUUUUGCUGUCACUUAUAGAUGGAUCCGCGCCGCAUUAGCUAGUUGGUAAGGUAACGGCUUACCAAGGCAACGAUGCGUAGCCGACCUGAGAGGGUGAUCGGCCACACUGGAACGGAGACACGGUCCCGACUCCUACGGGAGGCAGCAGUAGGGAAUCUUCCGCAAUGGGCGAAAGCCUGACGGAGCAACGCCGCGUGAGUGAUGAAGGUCUUCGGAUCGUAAAACUCUGUUAUUAGGGAAGAACAAAUGUGUAAGUAACUAUGCACGUCUUGACGGUACCUAAUCAGAAAGCCACGGCUAACUACGUG
RNAcentral lists this ribosomal RNA (497 nucleotides) under uncultured bacterium. RNAcentral's name for it is "partial 16S ribosomal RNA". It matches the Rfam family "Bacterial small subunit ribosomal RNA", at positions 28 to 507 of the family's 1533-position model. The record is from RNAcentral.